Elaeis guineensis (African oil palm) is the source of this 454-nucleotide non-coding RNA. The record is from RefSeq and is a predicted model, not a curated record. NCBI's taxonomy places the organism in Eukaryota, Viridiplantae, Streptophyta, Magnoliopsida, Arecales, Arecaceae.
CAUCAGCACAGCACGAUCCUCCUGUUCAUCAGCCAGAUGAUGAGAUACACGUGCAGGACGGAUCCGAGAGAGUAUGCCCCAGAUGCGGAUCCACAGUAGUACGAGAUGUGUGGCAGAUGCGUGAGGCCGAGAGAAUUAUUGUGGAGUGCAAUCAGCUAGGUCAGCCAAUUAAGAAAGCUGCCUGCUUAUUGACUUCAUUUUUGGAGACUGUUGCUCGAAGGCCUCAGCUAUGUCCAUUGGGCUAUGCAAAAUGGAAUGACAUGCUUCCAACGUACAAAGUUGAGCUCCUCCGAGUUAUAGAGAGCAAGUUUGUUCUCCCUCCAUCCACUCAUGAUUUUGUAAUAAAGUCUCUCAACCGCAAAUAGAAAGAAUAUAGAGCAUAAUUGAAGAGGGACUAUAUGAGAUAGGAUAUGACAGAGGAGGAGGUUGCUAGAAAUUGUCCUCCUGAUGUACC